GGGGACGUAGCUCAGCUGGCUAGAGCAUCUGGUUUGCAACCAGAAGGUCGUGGGUUCGAGCCCCAUCGUCUCCA
Molecule: transfer RNA, 74 nt
Filed under: Actinomycetota bacterium
Lineage: Bacteria; Bacillati; Actinomycetota
Description: tRNA-Ala
Rfam family: tRNA
About the family: Transfer RNA (tRNA) molecules are approximately 80 nucleotides in length. Their secondary structure includes four short double-helical elements and three loops (D, anti-codon, and T loops).
Source: RNAcentral